UGGGGAAUAUUGGACAAUGGGCGAAAGCCUGAUCCAGCCAUGCCGCGUGAGUGAUGAAGGCCUUAGGGUUGUAAAGCUCUUUUGUCCGGGAAGAUAAUGACUGUACCGGAAGAAUAAGCCCCGGCUAACUUCGUGCCAGCAGCCGCGGUAAUACGAAGGGGGCUAGCGUUGUUCGGAAUCACUGGGCGUAAAGCGCACGUAGGCGGACCAUUAAGUCAGGGGUGAAAGCCUGGAGCUCAACUCCAGAACUGCCUUUGAUACUGAUGGUCUCGAGUUCGGAAGAGGUUGGUGGAACUGCGAGUGUAGAGGUGAAAUUCGUAGAUAUUCGCAAGAACACCAGUGGCGAAGGCGGCCAACUGGUCCGAUACUGACGCUGAGGUGCGAAAGCGUGGGGAGCAAACAGG
RNAcentral lists this ribosomal RNA (404 nucleotides) under uncultured bacterium. Its description in RNAcentral is "bacterial SSU rRNA". It matches the Rfam family "Bacterial small subunit ribosomal RNA", at positions 355 to 776 of the family's 1533-position model. The record is from RNAcentral.